UGGAUGGAGGGUUUGAUCCUGGCUCAGGGUGAACGCUGGCGGCGUGCUUGACACAUGCAAGUCGAACGGUAUGUGGCAACACAUAGAGUGGCGAACGGGUGAGUAACACGUGGGAAACCUACCUCUUAGCGGGGGAUAACUGACCGAAAGGACAGCUAAUACCGCAUAAGACCGAAAGGUGAAAGGUGCAAAUGCAUCGGCGAAGGAGCGGCCCGCGGACCAUCAGCUAGUUGGUGGGGUAAGAGCCUACCAAGGCGACGACGGUUAGCCGGCGUGAGAGCGUGGCCGGCCACAAGGACACUGAGAUACGGGUCCUACUCCUACGGGAGGCAGCAGUGCGGAAUUUUAGAUAAUGGAGGCAACUCUGAUCUAGCGACGCCGCGUGCAGGAAGAAGGUCUUCGGAUUGUAAACUGCUGUGGUAAGGGAAAAAUGUCAUGUAGAGUGGAAAGCUACAUGGAGGGAUGGUACCUUACUAGAAAGCCCCGGCUAACUACGUGCCAGCAGCCGCGGUAAUACGUAGGGGGCGAGCGUUACCCGGAAUCACUGGGCGUAAAGGGAGCGUAGGUGGCCUGACAUGUCAACUGUGAAAACCCGGAGCUCAACUCCGGACUUGCAGUUGAAACUGCCAGGCUUGAGGACGGUAGAGGAAGACGGAACUGCCAGUGUAGGGGUAAAAUCCUUAGAUAUUGGCAGGAACGCCGGUGACGAAGGUGGUUUUCUGGGCCGGUUCUGACACUGAUGCUCGAAAGCCAGGGGAGCGAACGGGAUUAGAUACCCCGGUAGUCCUGGCCCUAAACGAUGUUCACUAGGUGUGGGGAGCGGAAAGCUUUCCGUGCUAAAGCUAAC
RNAcentral lists this ribosomal RNA (847 nucleotides) under Mesotoga sp. RNAcentral describes it as "bacterial SSU rRNA". It matches the Rfam family "Bacterial small subunit ribosomal RNA", at positions 1 to 856 of the family's 1533-position model. Lineage: Bacteria; Thermotogati; Thermotogota; Thermotogae; Kosmotogales; Kosmotogaceae. The record is from RNAcentral.